This 468-nucleotide ribosomal RNA is filed under the name uncultured bacterium. RNAcentral describes it as "bacterial SSU rRNA". It matches the Rfam family "Bacterial small subunit ribosomal RNA", at positions 335 to 799 of the family's 1533-position model. The record is from RNAcentral.
ACUCCUACGGGAGGCAGCAGUGGGGAAUAUUGCACAAUGGGGAAACCCUGAUGCAGCCAUGCCGCGUGUGUGAAGAAGGCCUCGGUUGUAAGCACUUCAGUAGGAGGAAGGUAGUGUAGUUAACACCUGCAUUAUUUGACGUUACCUACAGAAGAAGCACCGGCUAACUCCGUGCCAGCAGCCGCGGUAAUACGGAGGGUGCGAGCGUUAAUCGGAAUUACUGGGCGUAAAGCGCAUGCAGGCGGCCUGUUAAGUCAGAUGUGAAAGCCCGGGGGCUUAACCUCGGAAUUGCAUUUGAAACUGGCAGGCUAGAGUCUUGUAGAGGGGGUUAGAAUUUCAGGUGUAGCGGUGAAAUGCGUAGAGAUCUGAAGGAAUACCAGUGGCGAAGGCGGCCCCCUGGACAAAGACUGACGCUCAGAUGCGAAAGCGUGGGGAGCAAACAGGAUUAGAUACCCUGGUAGGAUAGCG